Molecule: non-coding RNA, 5569 nt
Filed under: synthetic construct
Source: RNAcentral
UGCUCUCUUUUGUUGAGUUUUCUGUCCAUAUAGGCUACUCUACCCUCUCGUCGCCCUAGUUUCCUCGCCCCCUCUCGAGUUAAGAUGAAUUUUUACAACCCCUACCUACGCAAGGGCUCUAAGAAAAAGGCGGACCAGCCUUGCCAAGAAAGAGCCGGGGCCACUGAAAACAUACAGAGGCUAAUUCCCCUAUGUUUCCAGACCCCUGGAACGUCUGGAUACAAGACUUUUAACUCAAUGCUUCCCCCUGUGACAUUUUUGAAUGACCAGCAAAUAAAUCUUCCGCUGCAGCCCGGGCAGCCCCCCUGGACUCCACCCAACAAUACUGCUUCAAUCAAACAGAAAGGCGGACUUGUGGAAAACUUGAAAUUUCAUGUCUAUGACAUCAUCUCAUCUUGUUACAGCCAGGACCGCUGCGAGGACAUUCCGUUCAGAUUCCAGGCGGACAUUAUUCCCAGUGGGACUGUUAUUCAUCUCUUGGGUAAGCUGGAAAAUGGGCAAAGUGUAUGUGUCAAUGUUUUUGGCCAAAAAAUAUACUUCUAUGCCAAGGCUCCAAACAGCCUUGUGCUCAGCUCGGCCAUCCAGGAAGUCAUGAGUCAAUUCAAGGGCAAGCGGGGUCCGUCUUUUCACAUAACCCAGGAGGAAAAAAUUCCACUGGUAACCUACACCGAAGAAUUGACAAAGGUCUACAAAGUUACCCUCUCAUCUUCCCAAUUGCUGUAUCCCAUCUGCGAUAAGCUUAAGGCGUUGGGUAUUGAACUUUUUGAGACCAACGUGGAUGCCUGCCAAAGAUUUAUGAUAGACAAUAAUUUUUCCACAUUUGGCUGGUACACUUGUGACGUGGCAGACCUUCGCCAGUCGAAGAAAGACUCUUUAUGUCAGUUAGAGAUAGACUGUGGUCUGGAGAACAUCUGUCAUCAUCCAGAGCUCUCCUCCUGGCCCCCCUACAAUAUCCUGUCAUUUGAUAUAGAGUGUUUGGGUGAAUGUGGGUUUCCCUGUGCCCUGAAAGAACAGGAUUGUAUUAUUCAAAUUUCCUGUGUCACCUGGAACUGUGCCACCAACUCCAUCUCCAAGCUGUUGUUUUCCCUGGGUACCUGCGACCCCAUCGAGGGCACUGAAGUGUAUGAGUGCCCCUCAGAAUAUGAUCUGUUGAUGGCUUUCCUAAUUUUCAUGAGGGACAGCGGUGUUGAAUUUAUUUCGGGAUAUAAUAUCGCCAACUUUGAUUUGCCAUACAUCAUAGACAGGGCCACCCAAAUCUAUAACAUUGACUGUACACAGUUCACCAAGCUGGUCACCAUGAGGACCUUCGAGGUCAGGAAGCCCAUAGACAGUGGAGCGGGAUUCAUGAGGGCCCAAACCAAGAUCAGGAUAUCGGGAGUCAUUCCAGUGGACAUGUACACCGUGUGCAAAGACAAACUCAGCCUCUCUGACUACAAACUGAACACUGUUGCCAAACACUGCCUGAACAUGGAAAAGGAAGAUGUGUCUUAUAAGGAUAUUCCAAUACUUUUCAAGGAGGGGCCCACAGGGCGGGCUAAAAUUGGAACAUACUGUGUUAUGGAUAGUCAGUUGGUCCUGGACCUACUGAAAUACUUUAUGGCACACAUCGAAAUUGCAGAAAUUGGGAAGUUGGCCAAGAUUCCCGUCAGACGGGUGCUGACUGAUGGACAACAAAUCAGAGUUUUCUCUUCUUUGCUCGACGCUGCCAGGAGGGAGAACUACAUCCUGCCAUCAAAUCAGGCAAAAUGCAGCAACAGUGGGUACCAGGGAGCCACGGUCAUAGAUCCCAUAACAGGAUUUUACAACACUCCUGUGCUUGUAGUGGACUUUGCCAGCCUGUACCCAAGCAUUAUUCAGGCACACAAUCUGUGUUAUUCUACUAUUAUUCCUGACAACAAACUUCAGAUGUUCCCCAACCUGACACCUGCGGACUAUGAGACUUUUACCCUCCCUAGCGGCACUGUUCACUUUGUGAAAAAACACAAGAAAUGUUCACUAUUGUCUAGACUGUUGACAAAAUGGCUGGCCAAAAGAAAAGAGAUCCGGACACAGCUGGCAGCUUGUGAGGAUCCCAUCACAAAGACCAUAUUGGAUAAACAGCAGCUGGCCAUAAAGGUCACCUGUAAUUCUGUUUAUGGCUUCACAGGAGUGGCCUCUGGAAUGUUGCCUUGCCUCCAAAUUGCAGAGACCAUCACUUUCCAGGGCAGGAAAAUGCUGGAAAAAUCCAGAGCCUAUAUAGAAAACAUGAGCUCUGCCACUCUUGGGGCACUGAUGCACAAGACCUACAACCCAGAUGCCUACUUCAGAGUGAUUUAUGGAGACACUGAUUCUCUUUUUGUGGAAACUCAGGGGUAUACGUUAGAGGAAGUGGUAGAGUUUGGAGAGAUGUUGGCAGACAAUACAACCAAGGCCCUGUUUGUACAACCUAUAAAACUAGAGGCCGAGAAGACCUUUAAAAGUUUGCUAAUGAUUACCAAGAAGAGAUAUGUGGGGACUCUGAGUAACAACAAACUGUUAUUGAAGGGUGUGGAUCUUGUCAGGAAAACUGCAUGCAAGUUUGUCCAGUCUGCCACCUCAAACGUGGUCUCCCUGAUUUUGAAUGACAACGAUGUCAGGGCGGCCGCCCAAACAAUGAGUAACUGGGGGAAGCUGGAUGUAUACAGGAGGGGCCUGCCCAGUGGCUUCAGUAAAGUCAUUGAUGCGCUUAACCACAACCAUUUACAAUUAAUAACCAACUCUGUUGAUAUUGACCAUUUGACCUUCACUACCGAACUGAGUAAGCCUCUGACUGAAUAUAAAACCACAAACCUGCCACACUUGGCAGUCUUUAAGAAGCUUGUCAGCAGACAGGAAGAGUUACCUCAGAUUCAUGACAGAAUACCUUAUGUAUUCAUAGACGGUAGUGAAAAGGGACUAAAGUCUGACUUGGCAGAGCACCCCGCCUACGUGCGUCAGCAGAACUUAAGAAUUGCACACAAGGUAUAUUUUGACAAACUGGUCCAUUCGGUGGCUAAUAUAAUUCAGUGCCUCUUUGACAACGACACUGACUAUACAGUGAAAAUCAUCUACAACUUCCUGAACAUCCAACCAGACAACAUAUCUGAGAUUGCUGAACUUUUAAACAUCCAAACUGGUCAUGGAGAAGUCUGCCCCCUCGAUUAUUCUUAAUCACUGGUGCGUGACCUGGCAGGGUCACCAUUUUCUCUGCAGAAACCUUUCAAAUAUAAAAAUUCUAAACAGAAGGAAUGGAUACACCACUCUGGACCUACCACUGACCCUUGGAGACCUGACACAAUAUAGACUGGCUCAUGGACUUAGUGAAAAUCUAAUGGCGCUCAGUCCUUACUCUUGGACCAUACCCUUUCUGGUGUCAUCGAGUGAAACACCUGGAAUUGAGCUUCUUCCUAAGGUGAUUAAUGACUUUGGCACCCCGCUAUCAUUGGCUAUAAAAACUAAUCUCCCGUCUAUCCCCGCGCAUCAGCUGCUAUUUUACAUCAUUUUCCUCCGACCCUCACCCCUAACAUCCAUGUCCUGUUAUGCCAGGCCCCUGUCUUUAGCUUCUACACCCUCCACCAAUGGCCUGUGCCAAUCAGUCUCUGUCUUGGAUAAUAAACCUGGGCUCCUGAUCACUACCCCACUACAUAGAGACCCAGCCAGCGGGAAAUAUACAAGCAAUGUCCAGAGUCCAACUACCUUUAACCUGUUCAGGGUUCUCUACAUCAAGCUAUCGGGGGAGGAGGGGAUGGUUUCUCAAAAAGUAAAGCAUCUCACAAUUGACAAAGAUUCCCUGCAGGAAGGCUUCCUUCAACUGUGUUUAAACAUGUGUGGAGUGUCUUAUGAGACUCUCCAAUGUGAGAUAUUAUUAGAACUGGUUCAGGGCCCCACAAAUUUCAUAUUUCCAGCAGCCUUUCCACCCCCCGUGAGUCUUCCCCACAGAAACUGCAUAGAACUAACUUGUGACACAGAAAGGUGUUUGAAACCAGGUGAUGUUAUGAAACUGAAGCACAGAUUACUUUAUGAGUUGGGACAGAGGGGGGACACACCACAAAAUGCCUUUUUGAUUGUUGGGGCCCACUCACCAGAAACAGUGUGGAUUUCACCAAGUCUGUGGCUACCGGGCCAACCACUAUAUAUAAACAUAAUAAACCUGUCUCACAAACCAUUGCUCUUGUCUAGACAUUCCAUACUGGCACUUGCCAUCCCUAUAUCUUAUACUCGCGCCCCCGCCUCUGCCCACGAGGCGACAGAUACUACCAUCUGCUAUUCUGGAAACAGCAGAGUGUUGACCUGCGGUGCAGCACACGUGCUGGAAGCCCACUUCAAACAUCCUCCAAUAACUUCCAGAGCGAUCACAGAUGGCGGAGAGUCACCCAUGGAGUGGCAGACCCUCUAGUUCCCCACGAAGGUCAUCUACAUUUGCCAACUAUGCCUGGAAGCAUACAAUCAAGCCAAACAGGAUUUUGAUACGCAAUGCCCGGCCACUGGUCAUCAAUUUUGCCACUGAUAGGCUUCCUAUCAUCAAGCCAGUGGAUCAGAUCAUACUGGAAGACGCGGGCACCGUGGGGUCCGCCCUUAAUCUACCCAGCGAGUCUAUCUGCACUAGACCAGGCCUGCUCCUGUUUGGACACUACAAUAACGAUGUGCCAGUCACCCCCCUGGUGGACUUUAAGCCCGAUGAGCCCCUCCAGGUUGUCCUCACAGCCCACAAGACCAUAGUGGUGCCACCAGGAGAAUUUGUCAUGAUCAUCGUGUGUGUAAAUUUUGAAAAAAUAAAAUCCCUGGACCUCAUCAUCCAUGAAAUGUCAACCAGCAACAUCCCCCUACCACCCACCUGUGGGCAGACCUUCAAAAACUUCAAUACAGCCACCCCCUCUCUGGAAAUCUAUGGAGAUGUCAUAGAGUGUAAUGACGACCAGAAGACCUGCGUCUUCACAGCCGUCUUUCCCGGGCUCCACAGGCGCUGCAGCCUCCACGGUCCCCUAAAUUUUAUGGGAUUUGUCAACAGUGUGAAUAUAACUGGAACUAUCCUCAGGGUGUACUAUUCUGGUGUCAGUGAAGCUGCCCCAGACAGCAUACUUGUCAAAUUCAAAACCUCCUCUGCCGUGGCCUUCAGUAAGAACCCGUGCCAAGGACAUGUUCCCAGUCAUGAUGAUACUUUGAUUCCCCUGGUGUAUACCGGACCCACCCUCCGUCUCCUCCCGCUGGAAACCAUCAGUAUUCCCUUCAAUACCUCUUUUGUGGCCCAGAACCCUGACCUGAAAGCCAUCAUCUAUGACAACAACUUAAAAGACAUCAGGAUCUCUGCAACCAUGUGGACAGGAGAACAGACACCCAUCUUGGCCCACAAUUUAACCGCCGCAGUUAAACUUAUCCACAGUGGGACCGUGUUUGCCAGGGCAGCCUUUUUCUCCACUAAAGAGAACAAGAAGGCCUGCACACUUAAACUCUGCCCCUCAACCAUCCUUCUUCCAGGUGGUGAGCUGAGUCUAGAUACCUCUACCCUCCCCAACUGUUUCAAAUGAUUCUUGUGAGUGCUGACAGGCUUAAUAAAGAAAAUGAUUAAAUGAAA